CUGGAGCCAGUAUGUUGAGAUGCGAGGGAGUCCAUUUCACAAGGUCUGCUCUGAAGAGAAGGUGGAGAGAAGAGGACAAAAGCUGAUGGUGGUGGAAGAGGCUUGCCCAUCCUGCCUUACACCCCUUUCCUGUCCCUUAGUACCUGUAGAGAACAGUCCAGGCAAGAGAACUGGAGCACUCAUCUAAGACUCCUCCAACAAGCAGCUUUCU
This 211-nucleotide long non-coding RNA is filed under the name Anser brachyrhynchus (Pink-footed goose). RNAcentral's name for it is "lncRNA (ENSABRG00000020172.1)". The record is from RNAcentral. Lineage: Eukaryota; Metazoa; Chordata; Aves; Anseriformes; Anatidae.